RNAcentral lists this long non-coding RNA (1364 nucleotides) under Macaca fascicularis (crab-eating macaque). Its description in RNAcentral is "lncRNA (ENSMFAG00000058139.1)". Lineage: Eukaryota; Metazoa; Chordata; Mammalia; Primates; Cercopithecidae. The record is from RNAcentral.
CUUCAUAACCCCAUUCACGCUGGGGCCCCAUACAACUAGGCAGGUUCAAAGCUGUGAAGCAACCCCACCAGGCAUAUCCAAGAAGGAACAAAGCUGAGCCCUCAGUAAGGGUGCUGACUUUGCUUUUCUCAACUCACUUCACAAGUUUGUUAUUCAAGAAGCAUGUACUGAUCAUCUAUAGGUACAUGAUGCUGUUUGCUCUAUGACAGUGUUUCGCAAUGUGCUAGAGAUUGUCCUGUGCUUCAUAGGAUGUUGGGCAGCAUUCCUGGCCUCCGCCUUCUAGACACUAAUACCUUUCACCCACGUCCUAGCUGCGAUGAACAAAAAUGUUUCCGGAUGUUGCCAAAUGUCCACUCAAGAGCAAAAUCACCUCCAGGUGAGAACCACUGGUCUAUGCUAAAACGGUGAUUCCCAAACUUUUGUAGACAUAAGACUCACUUAAAAUGCUGGUUUAAAAAAUGGGUUCCUGUGCCCUAAAUCCUAAAAUUUAAUUCAGUAAAGCUGAGACAGGUACAAAUAAUUUGUAGAAAAAUAAAAGAGAAAGAGAAAAAAGAAGUGGAUUGAGGAGUUAAUAUACGACUCAGGACUCAGGGGCUUAGAGGUACCAACGUGGGGUGAUUGAAAUAAGUGUGCACGGUUGCUUAAUAACAUUUCCCUUCAACUCCCCAAACUUAUUGCAGGUAUUUCAAUAUAAAUAGUUUUGUAUUAAUAUAACCUCUGUCCUUAGUAGAGUGUAUGGUGUAGAAAGAUGUUACAUAAAAGCAAUUUUUGAAUGAAUGAUUUAAUAAUGAUUUCAAGGGGAAAGUAUAAGUGCUUAUUCACUUAGUUCAGUGUAGAAUGAAGGUGUUUAGUUGUAAUGUCUGGGGGAGGUGUGGCCUGUAACAUUUAUCAGGAGCCUUGCAGUAAGCAGUGAGUUCUAAUCCUGGAAAAUCAGAAAUGGGGUUGAGGAUAAAAUCUACAGUGUAUCUCAUUUGGGCCAUCCCUUCACCUAGGACCUGAAAUCUCUUAUUAAGUACUUUAGUAAAAUUGACUUUCCUAGGGAAAGAUUAAUAGAAGAGGGAAUGGCCGGGCAUGGUGGCUCACGCCUGUAAUCCCAGAACUUUGGGAGGCCAAGUCGGGUGGAUCACCUGAGGUCAGGAGUUCAAGAACAGCCUGGCCAACAUGGUGAAACCCUGUCUCUACUAAAAAUACAAAAAUUAGCAGGGCAUGGUGGUGCGCACCUGUAAUCCCAGCUACUCAGGAGGCUGAGGCAGGAGAUUUGCUUGAACCUGGGAGGUGGAGGUUGUGGUUAGCCGAGAUCACGCCACUGCACUCCAGCCUGGGCAAUAGAGUGAGACUCCAUCUCAAAAAAAAAAAAAAAAAAA